CCCAAUCGGCGGGAGAGACUCGUGUGUGUUUGGCCUUUCCUCAUGACGUAGCGUUCUGUGCCUCUCCCCCCCCCCCCCCCGCUCCCUCUCCUUUUCCCCUCCCUCCUCGCCCCCCUCCCCUUCCCCUCGCAUCCUUGGAAGCAACAAUUAAGCAGCUCUGGGAUAAAACACACAGCCCGCGGGAGCACGAGGGCAUUGCUUCAAGAGAUGGCAAGGCAGGCAGCUGCACCCCUCCUCCCCGGAGUCCUCCUCCUCCUCUCCAUCCUCCCGGCUACUCAGCAAGGAGGGGUUCCUGGUGCUAUCCCGGGAGGGGGAGUCCCAGGAGGAGGAUUUUUCCCAGGUGCUGGAGUUGGAGGUUUGGGAGCAGGACUCGGGGCUGCAGGAAAACCUCCCAAACCAGGUGCUGCGGGCCUGUUCCCCGGAGCUGCCUUCCCCGGGGGGGGUGUUCCCGGGAGCCGCCUCGGCCGCGGCGCUCAAGGCUGCUGCAAAAGCUGGUGCUGGGAUUCCUGGAGCUUUUCCAGGCGGUGUGCUCCCCGGAGCAGGUGUUCGCUUCCCUGGUGUGGGAGUGCUGCCUGGAGUCCCCACUGGAGCUGGAGUCAAGCCCAAAGCCCCAGGAGUUGGAGCAUUUGGAGGAAUCCCUGGACUGGGAGGUUUUGGAGGUCAGCAGCCUGGUGUCCCUCUGGGUUAUCCCAUCAAAGCUCCUAAGCUCCCAGGUAAGGUCCACAGCCAGCAGAGUGGCUUCACUGUGGGUGAAGGAUCCCCAGCAGUGUCAGGAGAAGGACCCGCCAUUCCCUGGGGCUGGGGCACGGUGCCCACAGGUCCCCUGGACCUGGCAGUGCCUGUGCUGGCCUUGGGACAGCAGGACAGAGCCAGGGGCUCUGCUGUGCCCUUCCUGUGGCACCCCAUGGGCAGCUCCUGGGGUUCUGCCUGUGGUCUUGCCCCCGGCUCACGUGGACAAUGCUGUGCCUCUCUCCAGCUGCUGUAAGGUAGGAAGGAUCACGUUCUGGGGACACACUCUGGGCCAGGACACCCUGGGAUGUCCCUGCCACCUGCUGCUGGUGCAAGGCACAGCCCUUGCAGGGACAAUCUGCUUUCUGGGCUGGGUGUCCUGGCUCAAGGAGCUGUAGCUGAGGCCACCUGGGGCCUCCAGGCAGAUCUCUGUCCCC
This 1166-nucleotide long non-coding RNA is filed under the name Chloebia gouldiae (Gouldian finch). RNAcentral describes it as "Erythrura gouldiae (Gouldian finch) lncRNA (ENSEGOG00005012691.1)". The record is from RNAcentral. Lineage: Eukaryota; Metazoa; Chordata; Aves; Passeriformes; Passeridae.